GUGCCAGCCGCCGCGGUAAUACCGGCAGCCCGAGUGAUGGCCGAUCUUAUUGGGCCUAAAGCGUCCGUAGCUGGCUGCGCAAGUCCGUCGGGAAAUCCACUCGCCCAACGAGUGGGCGUCCGACGGAAACUGUCUGGCUUGGGGCCGGAGGACUCGAGGGGUACGUCCGGGGUAGGAGUGAAAUCCCGUAAUCCUGGACGGACCACCGGUGGCGAAAGCGCCUCGAGAGGACGGACCCGACGGUGAGGAACGAAAGCCAGGGUCUCGAACCGGAUUAGAUACCCGAGUAGUCC
RNAcentral lists this ribosomal RNA (293 nucleotides) under uncultured bacterium. Its description in RNAcentral is "partial 16S ribosomal RNA". It matches the Rfam family "Archaeal small subunit ribosomal RNA", at positions 455 to 747 of the family's 1478-position model. The record is from RNAcentral.